This 475-nucleotide ribosomal RNA is filed under the name Streptococcus mitis. RNAcentral describes it as "bacterial SSU rRNA". It matches the Rfam family "Bacterial small subunit ribosomal RNA", at positions 28 to 487 of the family's 1533-position model. Lineage: Bacteria; Bacillati; Bacillota; Bacilli; Lactobacillales; Streptococcaceae. The record is from RNAcentral.
GAUGAACGCUGGCGGCGUGCCUAAUACAUGCAAGUAGAACGCUGAAGGAGGAGCUUGCUUCUCCGGAUGAGUUGCGAACGGGUGAGUAACGCGUAGGUAACCUGCCUGGUAGCGGGGGAUAACUAUUGGAAACGAUAGCUAAUACCGCAUAAGAGUAGAUGUUGCAUGACAUUUGCUUAAAAGGUGCAAUUGCACCACUACCAGAUGGACCUGCGUUGUAUUAGCUAGUUGGUGGAGUAACGGCUCACCAAGGCGACGAUACAUAGCCGACCUGAGAGGGUGAUCGGCCACACUGGGACUGAGACACGGCCCAGACUCCUACGGGAGGCAGCAGUAGGGAAUCUUCGGCAAUGGACGGAAGUCUGACCGAGCAACGCCGCGUGAGUGAAGAAGGUUUUCGGAUCGUAAAGCUCUGUUGUAAGAGAAGAACGAGUGUGAGAGUGGAAAGUUCACACUGUGACGGUAUCUUACCAGA